Molecule: ribosomal RNA, 533 nt
Filed under: uncultured bacterium
Lineage: Bacteria
Description: bacterial SSU rRNA
Rfam family: Bacterial small subunit ribosomal RNA
Source: RNAcentral
ACGGCGCACGGGUGCGUAACACGUGGGCAAUCUGCCCUCCGAUGGGGAAUAACCCCGCGAAAGCGGGGCUAAUACCGCAUAACAUUCCGGGAACUCCGGUUCAUGGAUUCAAAGCCGCAAGGCGUCGGAGGAGGAGCCCGCGCACGAUUAGCUAGUUGGCAGGGUAACGGCCUACCAAGGCAAUGAUCGUUAGCUGGUCUGAGAGGAUGGCCAGCCACACUGGAACUGAGACACGGUCCAGACUCCUACGGGAGGCAGCAGUGGGGAAUCUUGCGCAAUGGGCGAAAGCCUGACGCAGCGACGCCGCGUGGGGGAUGAAGCUCUUCGGAGUGUAAACCCCUUUCGACUGGGAAGAAUACCUCGCAAGAGGGGUGACGGUACCGGUAGAAGAAGCCCCGGCUAACUACGUGCCAGCAGCCGCGGUAAGACGUAGGGGGCCAGCGUUGCUCGGAAUUACUGGGUGUAAAGGGUUCGUAGGCGGUGCGGCAAGUCGGGAGUGAAAUCUUUGGGCUCAACUCAAAGGCUGCUUCCGA